UGCCAGACUCCUACGGGAGGCAGCAGUGGGGAAUAUUGCACAAUGGGGGAAACCCUGAUGCAGCGACGCCGCGUGAGUGAAGAAGUAUUUCGGUAUGUAAAGCUCUAUCAGCAGGGAAGAAAAUGACGGUACCUGAUUAAGAAGCCCCGGCUAACUACGUGCCAGCAGCCGCGGUAAUACGUAGGGGGCAAGCGUUAUCCGGAUUUACUGGGUGUAAAGGGAGCGUAGACGGCAGCGCAAGUCUGAAGUGAAAUGGCGGGGCUUAACCCCGGAACUGCUUUGGAAACUGUGCAGCUAGAGUGCAGGAGAGGUAAGUGGAAUUCCUAGUGUAGCGGUGAAAUGCGUAGAUAUUAGGAGGAACACCAGUGGCGAAGGCGGCUUACUGGACUGUAACUGACGUUGAGGCUCGAAAGCGUGGGGAGCAAACAGGAUUAGAUACCCCUGUA
RNAcentral lists this ribosomal RNA (446 nucleotides) under uncultured bacterium. RNAcentral describes it as "bacterial SSU rRNA". It matches the Rfam family "Bacterial small subunit ribosomal RNA", at positions 329 to 792 of the family's 1533-position model. The record is from RNAcentral.